GAUGAAGAACGCAGCAAAAUGCGAUAAGUAAUGUGAAUUGCAGAAUUCAGUGAAUCAUCGAAUCUUUGAACGCACAUUGCGCCCGCUGGUAUUCCGGCGGGCAUGCCUGUUCGAGCGUCAUUUCAACCCUCAAGCCCCCGGGUUUGGUGUUGGGGAUCGGCUCUGCCCUUCUGGGCGGUGCUGCCCCCGAAAUACAUUGGCGGUCUCGCUGCAGCCUCCAUUGCGUAGUAGCUAACACCUCGCAACUGGAACGCGGCGCGGCCAUGCCGUAAAACCCCAACUUCUGAAUGUUGACCUCGGAUCAGGUAGGAAUACCCGCUGAACUUAAGCAUAUCAAUAAGCGGAGGA
RNAcentral lists this unclassified non-coding RNA (348 nucleotides) under soil metagenome. RNAcentral describes it as "partial contains 5.8S ribosomal RNA, internal transcribed spacer 2, and large subunit ribosomal RNA". The stretch from base 1 to 120 matches the Rfam family "5.8S ribosomal RNA", at positions 35 to 154 of the family's 154-position model. The record is from RNAcentral.